GAACGGUGAUAUUUAUAUCAUAGUGGCGCACGGGUGUGUAACACGUAUGCAACCUACCUAUUAUUGGGGGAUAGCCUUUGGAAACGGAGAUUAAUACCGCAUAAUACGAUUAACUGGCAUCGGUUGAUUGUUAAAGCAUUUGCGAUAAUAGAUGGGCAUGCGUCCAAUUAGUUAGUUGGUGUGGUAAUGGCUCACCAAGACGAUGAUUGGUAGGGGAUCUGAGAGGAUAAUCCCCCACACUGGCACUGAGAUACGGGCCAGACUCCUACGGGAGGCAGCAGUAGGGAAUAUUGGGCAAUGGGCGGAAGCCUGACCCAGCCAUGCCGCGUGCAGGAAGACGGCGUUAUGCGUUGUAAACUGCUUUUUUAUAGGAAGAAGGAUCCCUUGCGAGGGAAGGUGACGGUACUAUAAGAAUAAGCACCGGCUAACUCCGUGCCAGCAGCCGCGGUAAUACGGAGGGUGCAAGCGUUGUCCGGAUUUAUUGGGUUUAAAGGGUGCGUAGGCGGUUUAUUAAGUCAGUGGUGAAAGACGGUCGCUCAACGAUUGCAGUGCCAUUGAUACUGGUAGACUUGAGUGAG
Molecule: ribosomal RNA, 578 nt
Filed under: uncultured bacterium
Lineage: Bacteria
Description: bacterial SSU rRNA
Rfam family: Bacterial small subunit ribosomal RNA
Source: RNAcentral